CUGGCGGCGUGCCUAACACAUGCAAGUUCGAGCGGCAGCGAGUUUUACACUGAAUUUCUGGAAGCCUUUCCGGGUAAUAUAGAAAGAAUCUAUUUCAAGAAAUUUUCGUCGUAAAAUCGUCGGCGAGCGGCGGAACGGCUGAGUAACGCGUAGGAAUUUGCCCCAAAGUCGAGGAAUAACUGCCCGAAAGGGUAGCUAAUGCCGCAUAUGGUCUUCGGAUUAAAGCCUUCGGGCGCUUUGGGAGAAGCCUGCGUUGGAUUAGGUAGUUGGUAGGGUAAUAGCCUACCAAGCCGACGAUUCCAUAGCUGGUCUGAGAGGAUGAUCAGCCAGACUGGAACUGAGACACGGUCCAGACUCCUACGGGAGGCAGCAGUGAGGAAUCUUCCACAAUGGGCGAAAGCCUGAUGGAGCAACGCCGGCGUGAAGGAUGAAGGCCUUCGGGUUUGUAAACUUCUUUUAUGAGUGAAGAAUAUGACGGUAACUCAUGAAUAAGCACCGGCUAACUACGUGCCAGCAGCCGCGGUCAUACGUAGGGUGCAAGCAUUAUCCGGAGUGACUGGGCGUAAAGAGUUGCGUAGGCGGUUUAAUAAGUGAAUAGUGAAACCUGGUGGCUCAACCAUACAGACUAUUAUUCAAACUGUUAAACUCGAGAAUGGUAGAGGUAACUGGAAUUUCUAGUGUAGGAGUGAAAUCCGUAGAUAUUAGAAGGAACACCGAUGGCGUAGGCAGGUUACUGGGCCAUUUCUGACGCUAAGGCACGAAAGCGUGGGGAGCGAACCGGAUUAGAUACCCGGGUAGUCCACGCCGUAAACGAUGGAUACUAGCUGUUGGAGGUAUCGACCCCUUCAGUAGCGAAGCUAACGCGUUAAGUAUCCCGCCUGUGGAGUACGGCCGCAAGGCUAAAACAUAAAGGAAUUGACGGGGACCCGCACAAGCGGUGGAUUAUGUUCUUUAAUUCGAUGAUAACCGAAGAACCUUACCAGGGCUUGACAUCCAGGGAAGGUCUGCGAAAGUAGACUGUGCCUUUUGGAACCCUGUGACAGGUGAUGCAUGGCCGUCGUCAGCUCGUGUCGUGAGAUGUUAGGUUAAGUCCUUCAACGAGCGCAACCCUUGUGAAUAGUUGUAUUUUUCUAUUCAGACUGCCCCGGUAACGGGGAGGAAGGAGGGGAUGAUGUCAGGUCAGUAUUUCCCUUACGUCCUGGGCUAGAAACGUAAUACAAUGGCUAGUACAAUGCGCAGCGAAGCCGCGAGGUGAAGCAAAUCGCAUCAAAGCUAGUCCCAGUUCGGAUUGUAGGCUGAAACUCGCCUGCAUGAAGUCGGAAUCGCUAGUAAUCGCAAAUCAGCAAGUUGCGGUGAAUACGUUCCCGGGUCUUGCACACACCGCCCGUC
This 1389-nucleotide ribosomal RNA is filed under the name uncultured bacterium. RNAcentral describes it as "bacterial SSU rRNA". It matches the Rfam family "Bacterial small subunit ribosomal RNA", at positions 36 to 1398 of the family's 1533-position model. The record is from RNAcentral.